RNAcentral lists this ribosomal RNA (253 nucleotides) under uncultured bacterium. Its description in RNAcentral is "partial 16S ribosomal RNA". It matches the Rfam family "Bacterial small subunit ribosomal RNA", at positions 524 to 776 of the family's 1533-position model. The record is from RNAcentral.
UACGUAAGGGGCGAGCGUUGUUCGGAAUUAUUGGGCGUAAAGGGUGCGUAGGCGGCUUCGUAAGUGUGUCUGUCAAGCCCGGGGCUCACCUCCGGGAAUCGGAUGCAAACUGCAGAGCUAGAGUUCGCAAGGGGUUGGUGGAAUUCCUGGUGUAGCGGUGAAAUGUAUAGAUAUCAGGAAGAACACCGGUGGCGAAGGCGACCAACUGGAGCUGAACUGACGCUGAUGCACGAAAGCUAGGGGAGCAAACAGG